This 494-nucleotide ribosomal RNA is filed under the name uncultured bacterium. RNAcentral's name for it is "partial 16S ribosomal RNA". It matches the Rfam family "Bacterial small subunit ribosomal RNA", at positions 28 to 507 of the family's 1533-position model. The record is from RNAcentral.
GACGAACGCUGGCGGCGUGCUUAACACAUGCAAGUCGAACGGAAAGGCCUGUCCUUCCUUGUGUUGGACGGGUACUCGAGUGGCGAACGGGUGAGUAACACGUGAGUGAUCUGCCCCCAACUUGGGUAUAAGCCUGGGAAACUGGGUCUAAUUCCCGAUAGGACUGCAGGGUGGUGCCUGUGGUGGAAAACGAUUUUCUAGUGGUUGGGGAUGAGCUCGCGGCCUAUCAGCUUGUUGGUGGGGUAAUGGCCUACCAAGGCGGCGACGGGUAGCCGGCCUGGGAGUGGGGAGGGCCACUGUGGGACGGGGUGCCGGCCCAGACCACUGCGGGGGGCGGCGGGGGGGAUUAGUGCACAGGGGGGGGAGGCCUGAGGCCGCGCCCCCGCGGGGGGAAUGCCGCCUUUGGGGUUGAAACCCCCUGUCGCCGGGGAGGAACCCGCUGGGUUGGAGGGGGGGUGACGUUGGUGGAAAAAGAACCCCCGGCUAACUACGGG